UACGGAGGGUGCAAGCGUUAUCCGGAUUUACUGGGUUUAAAGGGUGUGUAGGCGGGCUAUUAAGUCAGGGGUGAAAUCUCCGGGCUCAACCCGGAAACUGCCAUUGAUACUAUUAGUCUUGAAUUUUGUUGAGGUAGGCGGAAUAAGUCAUGUAGCGGUGAAAUGCAUAGAUAUGACUUAGAACACCAAUUGCGAAGGCAGCUUGCUAAACAAAUAUUGACGCUGAGGCACGAAAGCGUGGGGAUCAAACAGG
RNAcentral lists this ribosomal RNA (253 nucleotides) under uncultured bacterium. RNAcentral's name for it is "partial 16S ribosomal RNA". It matches the Rfam family "Bacterial small subunit ribosomal RNA", at positions 524 to 776 of the family's 1533-position model. The record is from RNAcentral.